AGGAGCUAUAUGACUUACAACUUUUUUUGGUUGUAGACUUAAUAUUUCUGGGUGUGUAAAUUUAAUUCAUGAUUGGAAUAGAAAUGAAAAAUAGAAUUGAAAUUCAUUGGAACGAAUUAUUUAAAAAUAUUUGGUUCAUUAGUAGAAUGAAAAUAGAAAUGAAUAAUUGGGAUAUGUAGGAUUUCAAAAAAUAGGAGGGGGUUAGUAAAUCCUAGGCAUCCUUAGACGGGAGCUAUAUGAUUACAACUUUUUUUGGUUGUAGACUUAAUAUUUUUGGGCGUGUAAAUUUAAUUCAUGAUUGGAAUAAAAAUGAGAAAUGGAAUUGAAAUUCAUCUGAACGAAUCAUUCAAAAAUAUUUGUUCAUUAGUGGUAUGAAAAUAAGAAUGUAUAAUUGGGAUAUGUAGGANUAUAUAUAAAUAAUAUAUAUAAUAUGUACAAUAAGAAAAAAUAUAUUUAAUAAUUUUUUAUUUAUAAAUUUUUCUUUUUUUUCCUUUCAACAAAACUACCAACCAAACAAUCAUAACAGAAAACUAUUUUUUUUUUCCACAAAUCAAACGCUAGAGAGCGUAAAAUUUAUUUUCCUCCGAAAAUUUUUUUCCACCGAAAUUUUUUUUUCACUAUUUUGCGUAGAACCAAACACACCCUAAACACCCAAUUGAAAAUUUUCCCUUUUU
RNAcentral lists this long non-coding RNA (674 nucleotides) under Ananas comosus (pineapple). Its description in RNAcentral is "long non-coding RNA (ACOM_LNC024003)". Lineage: Eukaryota; Viridiplantae; Streptophyta; Magnoliopsida; Poales; Bromeliaceae. The record is from RNAcentral.